AGCACAGUAUUGUUAAGUGGAAAAUGCAAUGUUUAUUUCCUUUCCCUGUGAACAUAUUCCAUAUUCAAGUAUCAAGAAUGCCCAGUUU
Long non-coding RNA from Lontra canadensis (Northern American river otter), 88 nucleotides. RefSeq lists it as uncharacterized. NCBI's taxonomy places the organism in Eukaryota, Metazoa, Chordata, Mammalia, Carnivora, Mustelidae. The record is from RefSeq and is a predicted model, not a curated record. The transcript is spliced from 5 exons.